This 145-nucleotide small RNA is filed under the name Marmota monax (woodchuck). Lineage: Eukaryota; Metazoa; Chordata; Mammalia; Rodentia; Sciuridae. The record is from RNAcentral.
GCUGGGCAUGGUGGUGCAUGCCUGUAAUCCCAGCAGGUGGUGCAUGCCUGUAAUCCCUCAGGAGGCUGAGGCAGGAGGAUUGUGAGUUCAUAGCCAGACUCAACAAAAGCGAGGUGCUAAACAACUCAGUGAGACCCUAUCUCUA